RNAcentral lists this long non-coding RNA (1847 nucleotides) under Mytilus galloprovincialis (Mediterranean mussel). The record is from RNAcentral. Lineage: Eukaryota; Metazoa; Mollusca; Bivalvia; Mytilida; Mytilidae.
CGUCUAUUGAUAUGCUAAAAUUAUGAGGUGUUUCUAAAAAAUCUCCGACUCAAUUUUUUUUUAAAACUUUCAUAUGCUAAUCUUUGGUACAAAAUGUAUGUGUUUUGAAAAAAUUAGGCACUUCUAUCGAGUAGAAAUGGAGAAUGGUCAUCUUUACUUUGUAUGUCCCCACUAUGGGGGCCCUGUUCCUCCCUUUACCUUGUUUCUGAAGAACACGAUAGUAAUUCAUCUCUCGAAAAAAUUAUCCACUAAAAAUAGUUGAAACAUAUCAAAUAUAUGUUAAGACAUCAAUAAAUUUUACUGGAUGUGAUUUUUUUUAAGCAGAAUUGCCGGAAUCGACCUCAACCGAAGUUGUGUCAGUAUAUAGAUAAACGUUGUCAAUUUCCGGCGCCGAAAAUGCCAACGUAAAAUGUCAUUAAAAGUUGGAUUCUUUUCUUCUUUGUAGCAAUUUUGUUAAUCUUAAUGCCAAGGAAGGCAUGCAAUAUGUUGAAUCCAUACCAACGUUAUACCAUACUUGGUACCCUAGAGUGUUAGGCUUACACAUCAUGGGACCCCGACUGAUUUGUUGAAAUCAUGAUCGUACUUUAACUAAAAGUUUACAAAGUAACUUAUAAAAAAACAAGAUUCAUUCCGUGAAUAUUGCUACCUGCCGCUGAGUUUUUAAUGAACAUUUAAUCUGAUUCGGUCAUAGAAAAGCUGUUGAUAUUCCUUUCGUUAAUAUAAUUAUCGUUGUGUGUUUUGUUUGGUUUCUUAUUUUUAAAAGGGGGCGUUGGCAGGGGCAUGCUCUUUUUAUUUUGUCAAAGGCAUGUGUCAUUUUUAGGGCUCAUGGUUCUCAAUCUCUGGUUACAGUGGAGGUUCAAACUCAUCAUGACUUUAAAACUUAUUAAAAAUUCAUUUUGCAGUUUCUUGGGGCAUUGACAUACUGACUAUCAAUAUAUCUAUGCAUAGGAGGGAUGACCAAUUCUAUUCAAAGUAGGUGGUGGGAAUUCAAAAGAAAUCCUGGUCCGUUCACAAUAGUACUUCAGUGGCGGAUCCAGAACUUUUCCUAAAAGGGGGGGGGGGGCUCCAGUCAUGCUUCAAUGAUUCCCUAUAUAAUCAACCAAAUUUUUCCGAAAAAGUGGGGCCCCCUGGAUCCGCCUAUGUACUUGUUCGCCCUGGGUGCUUUGCCCUUAUACCCAUUCGCCCUGUUCUUUUUUUUUAUUUUGUUGUCCUCUUUAAUGUAAAUUAUUUGAAUGAAGUAUGUAAAAUUUGGUUGACAAUUUUGUGCAUAAACCACAUAACGCCAAAACGUUGGAGAUUUUGUCUGGAUUGACUAUUCAUUUGCAUCCAUUGCUACACAUGCAUUUAUUUCUAAACAUAUUUUCACUUUUGCAUACAGAUGCAGAAUAUUCCUUUUCAGCCUGUCUUGUGUCAUGUAACAGGGUCUUUUAUACAUGUGGCUCACUAACUGCUUUUUGUUCAAGUUAAUCUUUUUAGACAUUUGAUAUCUGGUGGAGAGUUGUCUUAUUGGCAUUGAUCAUACCCCAACUUUCUAAUUUUCAUAUUACUGAAAGGUAACUGUAUUUAUUACCUUGAAUUGAAUAAAUAACUACUUACAAAAAACAAUUCCACAUGUAAAAAAAAUAAAUGAAAUAUAAUUUCAAAUGAUACAAUGUAGCUAGCCUUAUGGAAUAUUUUGUAUGUUGUGCAUCUCUUUUCUCCUUUUAGUGACGGGGGCCUAUUUUGUAUGGUUGGCUGCUUCAUAUCUGGUGAUGGGAUAUACAUUUAGUUAUGCAGUGUUGAAUACUGGUCCCCACCCCCUAAUUGAUAGGAAUAAACAAAACAAAAAUUCUUUCACUCAAUCUCAA